AUUGAACGCUGGCGGCAGGCCUAACACAUGCAAGUCGAGCGGUAGAGAGGUGCUUGCACCUCUUGAGAGCGGCGGACGGGUGAGUAAUGCCUAGGAAUCUGCCUGGUAGUGGGGGAUAACGCUCGGAAACGGGCGCUAAUACCGCAUACGUCCUACGGGAGAAAGCAGGGGACCUUCGGGCCUUGCGCUAUCAGAUGAGCCUAGGUCGGAUUAGCUAGUUGGUGAGGUAAUGGCUCACCAAGGCGACGAUCCGUAACUGGUCUGAGAGGAUGAUCAGUCACACUGGAACUGAGACACGGUCCAGACUCCUACGGGAGGCAGCAGUGGGGAAUAUUGGACAAUGGGCGAAAGCCUGAUCCAGCCAUGCCGCGUGUGUGAAGAAGGUCUUCGGAUUGUAAAGCACUUUAAGUUGGGAGGAAGGGUCGUUACCUAAUACGUGACGAUUUUGACGUUACCGACAGAAUAAGCACCGGCUAACUCUGUGCCAGCAGCCGCCGCAG
RNAcentral lists this ribosomal RNA (500 nucleotides) under uncultured bacterium. Its description in RNAcentral is "partial 16S ribosomal RNA". It matches the Rfam family "Bacterial small subunit ribosomal RNA", at positions 30 to 523 of the family's 1533-position model. The record is from RNAcentral.